RNAcentral lists this transfer RNA (73 nucleotides) under Aeriscardovia sp. RNAcentral's name for it is "tRNA-Thr". The record is from RNAcentral. Lineage: Bacteria; Bacillati; Actinomycetota; Actinomycetes; Bifidobacteriales; Bifidobacteriaceae.
AAAACAUUAGCUCAGUUGGCGAGAGCGCUUGCAUUGGUAAUGCGAGAGGUCGGCGGUUCGAGCCCGUCAUGCU